GAAUUAUUGGGCGUAAGCGCGCGCAGGUGGUUUCUUAAGUCUGAUGUGAAAGCCCACGGCUCAACCGUGGAGGGUCAUUGGAAACUGGGAGACUUGAGUGCAGAAGAGGAAAGUGGAAUUCCAUGUGUAGCGGUGAAAUGCGUAGAGAUAUGGAGGAACACCAGUGGCGAAGGCGACUUUCUGGUCUGUAACUGACACUGAGGCGCGAAAGCGUGGGGAGCAAACAGGAUUAGAUACCCUGGUAGUCCACGCCGUAAACGAUGAGUGCUAAGUGUUAGAGGGUUUCCGCCCUUUAGUGCUGAACUUAACGCAUUAAGCACUCCGCCUGGGGAGUACGGCCGCAAGGCUGAAACUCAAAGGAAUUGACGGGGGCCCGCACAAGCGGUGGAGCAUGUGGUUUAAUUCGAACCAACGCGAAGAACCUUACCAGGUCUUGACAUCCU
RNAcentral lists this ribosomal RNA (443 nucleotides) under Bacillus cereus. RNAcentral's name for it is "bacterial SSU rRNA". It matches the Rfam family "Bacterial small subunit ribosomal RNA", at positions 548 to 990 of the family's 1533-position model. The record is from RNAcentral. Lineage: Bacteria; Bacillati; Bacillota; Bacilli; Caryophanales; Bacillaceae.